GCGAAAUGUUGCCGAACCCAAAAGUAUUCCAAUCCUCCAUUACCACCAACACACCCUUCACAAAUCCAGUUCCCCUUCAUCUACCAUAAUCAAGCAAUGUUGCAAAUUAUCGCGAGGAGAGCUUGCCAUUUUUGGCAACUCUUCGUUGCUUCUUCUGCUGAGUUCUCAGUAUGUCCAGAGCUAGCUGAAGAAAACUUGCCAGAUUCCAAAGAAAAUGAUCCAUGAGAAAAAAGCAGUACAAGCACUAGACAUAAGUGCAGCAAUAAAACUACAACAAAGCGUGCAUUUCUUGAUAAUAUCAAUUAAUGGAGAACCUGUUGGCCGCCUUAUCAUUGGGCUACACGGAGAGGAUGUCCCAGCUCGACCUGCUGGGUUUAGCAAUCUUGUAAGUGGAGCUGCUGGUAUUAGUUACAGAAGAAAAGAAUUCAUCAAGAUCAUGCCAAACUAUGAGCAGCAUGGUGGGGUAAGGUCAUACGGAGUGAGAUGCUGAGCUUGCACGGAGAACAGGAAGCAACUUGGCAGCUGAAAGUCUCGUGGAUGAAUGGCAGAGGGAAUAUGAGACCCGCCCACGUAUCAAGAUUUUGGUUGGAGCUGUAAGCAUUAUUGUGAGAGAUCCUUCCAAACCGCCUCCAAAGUUGAAGUUAGUCGCAAGGCAAGGAAACCUUGAGAUUGAUCAAGAAGAAGUUGGGAUUGAUCCGAGCAGUACAGAGUUUGUGAUAGCCACCAAGGAAUCACCAGAGUUGGAUGCAUCAUCUCUGAUAGUUGGAAGUGUAUUGAAAGGGAUGGAGGUUGUAGACAAGAUUGGACAAGUGAAGACCUCGCAGGAGAAAAUCAGAUCUCCUUAUUUCAGAGCUGCCAGGCUGAUUCGAGGCAAAGGAGCUGUCGUUGCAGAAAGAGGCUUUGACCGACAGUAUUCUAAGGUGGUAGUCGCAAAUUGUGGCUUGGAGCUAACACCAAAUGUUCGUUGCAACCCUUUUCUAUUGAUUUAUUUUUAAAAUGAAGGGACAACAAUUUUUUUUUUUUUUAGAAUAAAUUUCAUUGCCAUUCCUCUCUACAA
This is a long non-coding RNA of Populus nigra (black poplar), 1057 nucleotides long. RefSeq lists it as uncharacterized. Lineage: Eukaryota; Viridiplantae; Streptophyta; Magnoliopsida; Malpighiales; Salicaceae. The record is from RefSeq and is a predicted model, not a curated record. The transcript has 2 exons.